UACGUAGGGGGCAAGCGUUGUCCGGAAUCAUUGGGCGUAAAGAGCGUGUAGGCGGUCCGGUAAGUCCGCUGUGAAAGUCAAGGGCUCAACCCUUGAAUGCCGGCGGAUACUGUCGGGCUAGAGUCCGGAAGAGGUGAGUGGAAUUCCUGGUGUAGCGGUGAAAUUCGUAGAUAUUAGGAAGAACACCAGUGGCGAAGGCGGCUCACUGGCCCGGUACUGACGCUGAGGCGCGAAAGCGUGGGGAGCAAACAGG
RNAcentral lists this ribosomal RNA (253 nucleotides) under uncultured bacterium. Its description in RNAcentral is "partial 16S ribosomal RNA". It matches the Rfam family "Bacterial small subunit ribosomal RNA", at positions 524 to 776 of the family's 1533-position model. The record is from RNAcentral.